UACGGGGGGGGCAAGCGUUGUUCGGAAUUACUGGGCGUAAAGGGCUCGUAGGCGGCCAACUAAGUCGGACGUGAAAUCCCCAGGCUCAACCUGGGAACUGCGUCCGAUACUGGAUGGCUUGAAUCCGGGAGAGGGAUGCAGAAUUCCAGGUGUAGCGGUGAAAUGCGCAGAUAUCAGGAGGAACACCAAUGGCGAAGGCAGCUCGCUGGGACGUGACUGACGCUGAGACGCGAAAGCGUGGGGAGCAAACAGG
RNAcentral lists this ribosomal RNA (253 nucleotides) under uncultured bacterium. RNAcentral's name for it is "partial 16S ribosomal RNA". It matches the Rfam family "Bacterial small subunit ribosomal RNA", at positions 524 to 776 of the family's 1533-position model. The record is from RNAcentral.